This 117-nucleotide non-coding RNA is filed under the name Pan paniscus (pygmy chimpanzee). Lineage: Eukaryota; Metazoa; Chordata; Mammalia; Primates; Hominidae. RNAcentral also lists the same sequence under 1 other name. The record is from Rfam by way of RNAcentral.
GCCGGGUGCGGUGGCUCACGCCUGUAAUCCCAGCACUUUGGGAGGCUGAGGUGGGUGGAUCACCUGAGGUCAGGAGUUCGAGACCAGCCUGACCAACAUGGUGAAACCCCGUCUCUA